AAAAUUUGAACUAAAAUGUCGUGUUUUUAUGUGGCUCUUCCAAUUUUUCUGAUUUUUUAAUAGAAAAAGGUAUUUUUGUGCAUACUAUUUGAGUUUAUUCUGUUCCUUAAAGCCUGUUUAAUCUCCUGAAAAUGAAGCGUUAAAUAAUUCACAACAGCACAUAAUAAUCACCCAAAAGAAGAGACCUGGGUCACCUGUUGUAUAAUCCUGAUGUUUGGCCGUCAUUCUCGUUUAACAGAUUGAUUUUCUAUUAUCAGAUUUGUACAACAAAUUAAUGGAUGUAUACAGUUCCAAGGCAGUACAUUUAUCCUUUUGAUAAAUAUUACCAAUGGCAUCAGGACUUAACCAAAACUUUCCAGAAGGGUAGCCAGAAGACGUGUUUACCUCAACAUAGACAUCAGCAUGUCCACCAACACCUUGGACUUACAUUUUUUAAUUAUUCUUGUUAAUAAAAUAUAGUGU
This is a long non-coding RNA of Sitophilus oryzae (rice weevil), 462 nucleotides long. RefSeq lists it as uncharacterized. The record is from RefSeq and is a predicted model, not a curated record. The transcript is spliced from 4 exons. NCBI's taxonomy places the organism in Eukaryota, Metazoa, Arthropoda, Insecta, Coleoptera, Curculionidae.